This 497-nucleotide ribosomal RNA is filed under the name uncultured bacterium. RNAcentral's name for it is "partial 16S ribosomal RNA". It matches the Rfam family "Bacterial small subunit ribosomal RNA", at positions 28 to 507 of the family's 1533-position model. The record is from RNAcentral.
GACGAACGCUGGCGGCGUGCCUAAUACAUGCAAGUUGAGCGCUGAAGGUUGGUACUUGUACCAACUGGAUGAGCAGCGAACGGGUGAGUAACGCGUGGGGAAUCUGCCUUUGAGCGGGGGACAACAUUUGGAAACGAAUGCUAAUACCGCAUAAAAACUUUAAACACAAGUUUUAAGUUUGAAAGAUGCAAUUGCAUCACUCAAAGAUGAUCCCGCGUUGUAUUAGCUAGUUGGUGAGGUAAAGGCUCACCAAGGCGAUGAUACAUAGCCGACCUGAGAGGGUGAUCGGCCACAUUGGGACUGGGACACGGCCCAAACUCCUACGGGAGGCAACAGUAGGGAAUCUUCGGCAAUGGACGAAAGUCUGACCGAGCAACGCCGCGUGAGUGAAGAAGGUUUUCGGAUCGUAAAACUCUGUUGGUAGAGAAGAACGUUGGUGAGAGUGGAAAGCUCAUCAAGUGACGGUAACUACCCAGAAAGGGACGGCUAACUACGUG